UACGUAGGGUGCAAGCGUUGUCCGGAAUUAUUGGGCGUAAAGAGCUCGUAGGCGGUCUGUUACGUCGGCUGUGAAAACCUGGGGCUCAACCCCGGGCCUGCAUCCGAUACGGGCAGACUAGAAUUCGGUAGGGGAGACUGGAAUUCCUGGUGUAGCGGUGGAAUGCGCAGAUAUCAGGAAGAACACCCGUGGCGAAGGCGGCUCUCUGGGACGGUACUGACGCUGAGACGCGAAAGCGUGGGGAGCGAACAGG
RNAcentral lists this ribosomal RNA (253 nucleotides) under uncultured bacterium. RNAcentral describes it as "partial 16S ribosomal RNA". It matches the Rfam family "Bacterial small subunit ribosomal RNA", at positions 524 to 776 of the family's 1533-position model. The record is from RNAcentral.